This 642-nucleotide ribosomal RNA is filed under the name Halomonas sp. HZBC47. RNAcentral's name for it is "bacterial SSU rRNA". It matches the Rfam family "Bacterial small subunit ribosomal RNA", at positions 396 to 1030 of the family's 1533-position model. Lineage: Bacteria; Pseudomonadati; Pseudomonadota; Gammaproteobacteria; Oceanospirillales; Halomonadaceae. The record is from RNAcentral.
GCCGCGUGUGUGAAGAAGGCCCUCGGGUUGUAAAGCACUUUCAGCGAGGAAGAACGCCUAGCGGUUAAUACCCGCUAGGAAAGACAUCACUCGCAGAAGAAGCACCGGCUAACUCCGUGCCAGCAGCCGCGGUAAUACGGAGGGUGCAAGCGUUAAUCGGAAUUACUGGGCGUAAAGCGCGCGUAGGUGGCUUGAUAAGCCGGUUGUGAAAGCCCCGGGCUCAACCUGGGAACGGCAUCCGGAACUGUCAAGCUAGAGUGCAGGAGAGGAAGGUAGAAUUCCCGGUGUAGCGGUGAAAUGCGUAGAGAUCGGGAGGAAUACCAGUGGCGAAGGCGGCCUUCUGGACUGACACUGACACUGAGGUGCGAAAGCGUGGGUAGCAAACAGGAUUAGAUACCCUGGUAGUCCACGCCGUAAACGAUGUCGACCAGCCGUUGGGUGCCUAGCGCACUUUGUGGCGAAGUUAACGCGAUAAGUCGACCGCCUGGGGAGUACGGCCGCAAGGUUAAAACUCAAAUGAAUUGACGGGGGCCCGCACAAGCGGUGGAGCAUGUGGUUUAAUUCGAUGCAACGCGAAGAACCUUACCUACUCUUGACAUCCUGCGAAUUCGGUAGAGAUACCUUAGUGCCUUCGGGAACGCA